AUCUGAAACCCUAUGUUUACAAGCAGACAGAGCGAUUUAAGGCGCGAUGUCGUACUUUUUGUAGAACGGUCCAGCGAGUUAUAGUGCAUGGCAAGGUUAAGUUUUAAGUAAGGAACGGAGCCGAAGCGAAAGCGAGUCUGAAUAGGGCGAAUUAAGUCAUGCGUUAUAGACCCGAAACCGGGUGACCUAUCCAUGGUCAGGAUGAAGCAAGAGUAAAAUCUUGUGGAGGUCCGAACUGAUUGUCGUUAAAAAGGCACCGGAUGAACUGUGGAUAGCGGAGAAAUUCCAAUCGAACUCGGAGAUAGCUGGUUCUCCUCGAAAUAGCUUUAGGGCUAGCCUUGGAGGAAGACGAAUGGAGGUAGAGCACUGAAUGAGGUAGGGGCCUAACCAGGUUACCGAACUCUAUCAAACUCCGAAUGCCAUUCGUUAAUAUCCAGGAGUCAGACUACGGGAGCUAAGUUCCGUGGUCAAAAGGAAAAGAGUCCAGAUCGUCAAUUAAGGUCCCAAAUGGAUAGCUAAGUGG
This 523-nucleotide ribosomal RNA is filed under the name Porphyromonadaceae bacterium. Its description in RNAcentral is "partial 23S ribosomal RNA". It matches the Rfam family "Bacterial large subunit ribosomal RNA", at positions 548 to 1066 of the family's 2925-position model. The record is from RNAcentral. Lineage: Bacteria; Pseudomonadati; Bacteroidota; Bacteroidia; Bacteroidales; Porphyromonadaceae.